This 883-nucleotide long non-coding RNA is filed under the name Mus spicilegus (steppe mouse). Its description in RNAcentral is "lncRNA (ENSMSIG00000029777.1)". The record is from RNAcentral. Lineage: Eukaryota; Metazoa; Chordata; Mammalia; Rodentia; Muridae.
UGAGUAUUACAUACUUAUUGCCUCUGAUGGAUAGAUAUGUUGUUUCUUUGCAGGUUUUAAAGAAGCACGGGUGGAACUCCUUUCAGCAAUGAAUUUGAGUCUAGAUGGAGAAUGAGAAAAGGUAGCACACAAAGUGACUUGCUAAUGCACAACAGCCUCAAGGAAGCUAAAAGUUUGAGAAUCAGCUUAGAAGUUUCUAUGUGAAAAGAAAACAGGAAGUCAUUCCAGCAGCAGCAGCCUCUGCUCCACUCUUCGUCUUGCUCACACUCCAUGCUGCCAAAUGGAAACUAAGGUGUUCAGGGAAUGGGGCAUACUUCCACAAAUUCCAUUUUAAAAUGGAUUGAUCAAGAAGUCCUUCCUCGGGUUAACCCUUACAUGGUGUUAAGAAGAAUUUCACCAAGUGGAUCUCAUUAUCACAGACCCAUUGAGAUUGGAAGCUUCCUUCCUCAAAGGAACAAUGCACUGUUAUGUGAAGACUGGUGGAUCUCUAGUCGGCUGCUGCUGAGAUACAGAAAGCAUGAACUAAAUCCUGAUGAUUUGGGGGAUCUAUUGGCAUACAACAAUUUUGUCCUUAUAAAGGAAAGCAUCAAAGUAGAACUUGAUUACAGUAUCAGAGACUUGGUGCGCUAUCAUCAUGGCAGAAAGCAUGGGGGCACGUAGGCAGACAUGGUGCUGGAGGAGCUGAGAGUUUUACAUAUGAAUCUGCAGGCAACAAGAAGAGACACUGGGCCUGGCUUGAGUCCUUAAGCCUCAGAGACAUACUUCCUCCAAUUAGGCCACACCUUUUAAUACCUGUAAGUAGCAAUAACCCCUAGUGAUCAAUCAUUUAAAUCAUGAGCUCAGGAGCCAUUUUUUAAACUACAUCAUCAAUAUAAACAACUGC